This 522-nucleotide transfer RNA is filed under the name Streptococcus anginosus. Its description in RNAcentral is "partial miscellaneous RNA". The stretch from base 187 to 259 matches the Rfam family "tRNA". Lineage: Bacteria; Bacillati; Bacillota; Bacilli; Lactobacillales; Streptococcaceae. The record is from RNAcentral.
CUAAGGAAAAAACGGAAGCCAUUGAGUUUGUCUUGUUUAGUUUUGAGAGGUCUUGUGGGGCCUUAGCUCAGCUAAGGAGAACGCCAGUUCGCCUUUGUCGAAGCGUUAGCGCACGACAGGGACCAGCGGUAACUUAACAAUAGAGUAUCGCGAAAAAAUAAAAUAGAGUACAACUAUGUAUUGUACGGGGCCUUAGCUCAGCUGGGAGAGCGCCUGCUUUGCACGCAGGAGGUCAGCGGUUCGAUCCCGCUAGGCUCCAUUAGGAUAGAAUCCUACUGAACUUAAUAAAGAAGUGAAGUUGAAUACGAGACUAACUUCUUAGGAAAAAAGAUAAACUUCCUUGUGUUCAUGGAACACAGCGUCAGUUUCCUAUUUUUCUACAGAAGUUUUCGCAAGCGAACCGUCUCUGAAUAUCCUAAAUUUAGCACAUUGAAAAUUGAAUAACGAUAUCAAAUAGUAACAAGAAAAUAAACCGAAACGCUGUGAAUAUUAAUGAGUAUAUGACUGAGAGGUCAAAAAUAA